This 454-nucleotide ribosomal RNA is filed under the name uncultured bacterium. RNAcentral's name for it is "bacterial SSU rRNA". It matches the Rfam family "Bacterial small subunit ribosomal RNA", at positions 28 to 526 of the family's 1533-position model. The record is from RNAcentral.
GAUGAACGCUGGCGGUAUGCCUAACACAUGCAAGUCGAACGAAAUCUUCGGAUUGAGUGGCGGACGGGUGAGUAACGCGUGAGAAUCUGCCUUCAGGAUGGGGACAACAGUUAGAAAUGACUGCUAAUACCCAAUGUGCAGAGAUGUGAAAUAUUUAUAGCCUGGAGAGGAGCUCGCGUCCGAUUAGUUAGUUGGUGGGGUAAAAGCCUACCAAGGCGGCGAUCGGUAGCUGGUCUGAGAGGAUGAGCAGCCACACUGGGACUGAGACACGGCCCAGACUCCUACGGGAGGCAGCAGUGGGGAAUUUUCCGCAAUGGGCGAAAGCCUGACGGAGCAAUACCGCGUGAGGGAGGAAGGCUUUUGGGUUGUAAACCUCUUUUAUCAAGGAAGAAGAAAGUGACGGUACUUGAAGAAUAAGCAUCGGCUAACUCCGUGCCAGCCGCCGCCGUAACAC